GAGGAGGAGGAGGAGGAGGAGGAAGAGCUUAUCUCUGAACCAGCAUCAGGUCCAGCUUGUUUCACUUGUAAAAAGGACAUUUUGCACAAAAUUACGACUUUUUUUCAAGAUUUCUGAAGAUCUAAGAAAGACUCCAUUUUUUUAACGUACAAUUUUAGAAAUCUCACUUUGAAUUUUUCCCUCAAAUUCAGACUUUUUUCUAGAAAUUAAAAUGUUGUUCUGACUGAAGAUUAUCUGAAAAUCUCACAAUUCUGACUUUUUCUCAAAAUCAGAUUUGAUCCUGAAAAUCUAAAACUUUUUCUCAACAUCUCAGAACUCUUCAAAAGGUGCCACAGAACGCACCCAUCUGGUAUAUGAAGUGUUCUGACGUCCACAAGAAGGUAUUUCACUUUGGUUGAUCCAAAAAAGGUCCAGAUGCAGUUUUACAGACCCAUUUACUACCCUAUGAUUUGGUCCUAGAACUAAACGAGCUGAAUUGUCUCAUUUAAAUAAUGAUGACGAGCUCUGCUCUGAUUGGCUGGUUCACAAGUAGCAGUCCAUGGCUGCCUCAGAGCCCACAGAAGUAAGUGAAGUUAGCUAAACUGUGAGAAGGAACCAUGGAGGCUGUUGGCAUCAACCUCACAGUCUGAGACUCUAUCGGAGGAGGGAACCGAUGAUCUGAAGAACAGCCAGUUGGUCGGAGAUUGGAGAGCAGCGUUACGGAGUGGUGAGUGUUAGCGUUAGUGUUUCCAGCAGCUGGUGUGUGCAGAUGUGGGGCUGGAGGACCGUGUGUGACGUCACACACAGGGAGUGUUGUAAUGCGCCCGUUGUACCGCUCUGAUGCAUAUUCAAGAUUUGCACGUGAAGGAGGAAACACGGUGUUUGAGGUUCACGGUAUGUCAGCUCAGUGAUCCGAGCUCUCCUUAUUCCACUCUGCCAACGUGAAUACAGUUUUACAUUCUGUGGCUCCUUAAAAGCUUUUCUGAAAUUUCUAAAUUCUGACUUUUUCUCAAAUAUUGAGUUUUUCUUAAUAUCUCAAAAUUCUCUGAACAUCUCAAUAAUGUUAGCCUUUGCAGACCGUUGACAUGCACUAUCACCUUAAGCAUACUAAAGGAGAUUGAACGCCACAAAGAGAAGAAUAGGGCCUCUUUAACCAACAGGAAGUACCUGAUCCUGGCCGUCCAGUCUGGACUGUUUGUCGUCGAUGGGAAAGAGCAGCACAUUCCCCAGCUCCAAAUCUGAAAUGAAACACAUUUUGGAUUCAAUUCCAGUUUGACAGCAAUGGUACAAAGUACAUUCACUUUUAAUUCCCUGGAAGUGGAAGCUCUCGGUACGUCUUCCUGGUUAUUGGCCUGAUUGAUUUUCUAAUAUUACUCCCUUACCUUUCAUCUUGCCAGCCAACUCGUACUGUUUCCUGGGUUCAUCUGAUCUCACCUCCAGAGCCGUGAACAAACCCCCCCGACCCCAGCGCCCCGAGUCAUCUGCACAUGGAGCAGAGCGUUCAGAAACACAAGACAAACCGAUGAAGACGUGCUGCUCUCUUCCUCUUCAUACCGACACAGUGGACGAUGAUGGCGUCCCCCCGAGCGGCGUGGGGAUGGGUGACGUCUCCGAGGACGUAGCGGAUCGCCAAGCUGUCAGAAUCUGUGGAGGAAAUACUGCCGUUAUCUUCCUCGUCCUCCUCCUCCUCUUCCUCACUGUCUACAGACAGCAGGCAGCGGGAUCUGUAGCCAGAGGACUCCCACCACGCCAUCCUGCACCAUGACAGAAGUACAGGAGGAACCGGGUCAGAAUGACAGAUAAAGGGCUGAAACUAACGAUCAUUUAUGUCAAAACUCAGACGAUAUUCACUUUAAUAUCAUUAUAACCAAAAACACAUUCAGAAACCAUUGACCUCCAGACCAGAGGACAGGAAGUGAGGAGAUGCUGAGUCAUGUCAGAGUGAAGGACUCAUUCCUGCACCUCUCUAUAGACGCACAGGUUGAUCGAAAUCUUUACUUUUUCUUGUGUUUCUUCUCCUGCUGCCUCUUCUCCUCUUCCUCCUGCAGUUGGGCUCUCUUUGCCGCAGCUUCCUCCCUCCUCUUCUUCCUCAGCUGCAGCUCAUCUUCACUCAGAGCCUUCCUCUUCCUCACCGGCAUCCCGAGAGCGGCCGACAGAGAGACCUGGAGACAACGGAGGGAAUCAAACCGGUGUUUGCAGCCCUCUCUGUGUGGACUGAUGCCAUCAUUUAUAGUCGUGUGUGUUGUUUGAUUGAAAGUUAGUGGGUCCUUCAUCCUGCAGCGUCCAAAGUGGCAUCACUCUUCAACCUGGAGAGCGGUGCUAUUGAGAAUGAGAUCCUCACACUAAAUAAUGACACUGAGCUCAAAUCAAGAGACCUGACACAAAGGUCCAAUUCUGGAAUCUAAUGCAGAAAGAGAAGUGCCCCAACCUCAGACACACUGCAAAGAAGUUGACUGCACCUUUUGGAUCAACAUGUUUGUGUGAGUCUGCCUUUUCACAUAUGAACAUCAUUAAGUCAAAAUACAGAUCCACCAGGACUGAUGACCACCUUGCGGCCUGCUUACGGCUGGCAGCUCCUACUGUCCGGACUAUGAGAGACUAGCCUCCUCCUCUCAGUGCCAGAAGUCCCACUAAGGUAGAGAACCACUUUUCCAACUUGAAUUAGGCAUUGUAUUAAUUGGGUUGUUACGCUAUGGCUUUCGAUAUGGCUUGGUAGAUUUCGACACACUAUCAACUUUAAAAGUAGAUCUUGGUUCAAAAAAGGUUGGGCACCCCUGCUGUAUACUGUACCCCGUCAGUAAAACACAAACUAUAAGAGAUCAGUGUGUGAACCAUUGAACAAGCUACGGGUGUGUGUGUGUGUGUGUGAGCUUCUUCAGUGGGUUUCACUGCGACCACCAUGCCCUAAAUAGAGUGUGUUUACCGGACGAAGUGCCACAACCGCUGCCCACUUUGGAGAACUGAAAGAUAAUCAUCUCCCCAGAGCGUCAUCAUUAUCGUCUCUACGACAAGCAGCUGUCAGAGGUUCAACCAAGUUUAAGCGCUCUUUAUUUUCAGAGGCUGAAGUGCAGCACUACCAUCAUUCUGCUUUUCAAUUAAAGAGGCCCCAUUCUCCUUUCUAUAGCGUUGCCUCUCCUGUAGUGUGUUCUGUUGGUUUUAGUGCAUGUAAAUGGUCCGCUGAGGCUAGAAUCCCCCUCCCACCCCCGCUUGAAACACCUCCGUUGGAUUCCUUUGUUUACUUCCGGGAACAUAGUGACAUCACUCGUUUGAUUAGUGCUCCAACACGGGACCUCUCUAAGCUGACCAAUCAGAGCAGGCUGUCCCGAUCAUGUGAAAAGAAAGACAGUCUUACUCCGGCUUUGUGUCUGAGCGCUCGUCCCUCUCCGACGGCUCUCUGAAACUCGUCCUGCUGAUCCUCCAGGAGACGCUGGAAGCUGGUCUGGUCCUCAGCGCUCGGGUCCUUACUGUAGUCCCGCCCCUCGAAGAAGUACAUGUGGUCUGCAGAGGAGAACAGGGAGGGUGAGGCUCUCCUCACAUAUUCAGGACUGUGAACCCUGUGUUUUCAAAGCACCUGAACAUUCUAUCACAUUUUAUUUGAUUACUUUGAAACAGUUGUUUUAUAUUUCUUUUUGAAAUUAAGUUAAAGUUUUCUUUUUGCACGAUUUUUAUUUUCAUCUAUGUUUUGAUAUGAUUUCCAUUUUGGAACUCUUUUAUUUAGACCUCUUCUUUUAUAUUUCAGUUUCUUAUUUUAUUUGAAUGUUUAUGCUAUUUCUUUUUAUUUUUAUUAGAUUUUAUUGAAUGAAGAGAAACCAAAUGUCACAGAGGUUGUUGACACCCCAGAAAAACAGUGUGUCACGCUGUUGACCUCAAACCGGGUUAAAUACUCAGAUUCAUCUUGCAUGUAAUGGGCUUUGAGCACCAAGCGCUGUAUAAAUAACACGUAUUAUUAUUAAAUAUACAGAGUGAUUAAAGAGAUAACCCUACUCUGUUUGUCAGUUUCCUCCUCCUCCUCUUCCUCUUCCUCUCUGACAGUUCUGAAGUCUUCCUCCGCCCACUGACCGUCACGAGACGGGCCGAGGAUCUUCUCCAGUUUCACUUCCUGCACCGAGCUCUCUUCCGAUGACAGGAGCUUAUCUACCCCGAACUUCAAGAUCUCGCUGAGCUGCAGGAAACCCCAGAGAGACGAGCAGCGGAGAUAAGAGGCAGAGAAGAGGAAGCAGUGAUGCAGGAUUCAGAGAAACACUGACAGCUCACUCAUAUUCCAUUCUUACUCUGGAUAUGACGGCUGAUAGUGGUCAUCAUAUUCUGCCUAGCUAAUAUUUGAUGUGCUGAUCCUGUCAGGUUCUGUGUUGUUGUGUGAAGUACCUGCAGCCCUGCAGCCGCGGACUGAGCCUGGUCCAUCAGAGAGAAGCGUCCCUCCUCUAUCACCGUGUUGGUGAGGUGCAGCUUAGAAACCGCCCGGGAAUACAUGAUCUCCUCCACCGAGUCUUUGGCCAGGAGCCGGAUCACCUUCACAGGCCUGGAACAAAACAAAGUUAGGGAUGAGAAGGCUCUCCAGCUGUUGGACCCUGAAGGCAGCACCUCCCUGGUCCAAUGGGAUUUCUCCAUCCGAUUUUGUUUUAAUACAUGAACACAUUUAGCAACGUUCACCUGUUCUGCCCGAUGCGGUGGCAGCGAGCAGCCGCCUGCAGGUCGUUCUGAGGGUUGAAGUCACUGUCCAUGAAAAUGACCGUGUCAGCAGCUGUGAGGUUCAGACCCACACCCCCUGCAAACACAGAUCAGCAGCUGCAGAUUCAGAUCCUGAUGCUCACUUAUUGCACAAGAUGACUCUGUUAUCUACAAACCUGUCAGACUGCUGUCUAAAGAAGAAACACCCCCCCUGCUGCACCUUUAAAUCACUACAGGAACUCAGUGAGACACAAGGAAACCUGCCUCAGUUGUGUCUGUGAGGAAAUUCUAUUUAAGAAGCUGCUGCAAAAAUGAAAGACUUCAAAUCUCAAACAGAUUAGAUUACCGCUCCAGAUUGGAAGGACUGAGAGCUGCAUUUAAGGAGGGAUCAUUUGCAUUAAAAGCUAUAAUAUUUAUAAUAACUUCUCCCUCCUGUGAGUGGUUGAGCAUUCCCUCCUCACCUGCUUUCGUGCUGAGCAGGAACACAAAGAUGUGUUUGCUGCUGAAGUUCUUCACCGCCAGAUUCCUCUCCUCCCCGCGCACCGACCCGUCCAGACGCUCGUAGCUGAAACCUGAACACAAAGACUUUAUUCAGCGCCUUUCUGUGGAGAAAAAUGAAAAUUAAAUUCUUUAUCUUUGCUUUUAGAGAGGAGAUUCAGUACACUGCAGGUGCUGGCCUAUUGGGGUUCAGAUAUUGAAGGUGUGUGUCAGUGAGAGAAACAGGAGACAGGUGGAGUGUGUUCACCUCUGUACUCCAUGUAGUCCUGCAGGAUGUCCAGCAUCCUCGUCAUCUGAGAGAACAGCAGCACCCUGUGGCCCCUACACACACACACA
Molecule: long non-coding RNA, 5481 nt
Organism: Eleginops maclovinus (Patagonian blennie)
Lineage: Eukaryota; Metazoa; Chordata; Actinopteri; Perciformes; Eleginopidae
Exons: 3
Source: RefSeq, a predicted model, not a curated record